RNAcentral lists this ribosomal RNA (1605 nucleotides) under Kocuria sp. RNAcentral's name for it is "bacterial SSU rRNA". It matches the Rfam family "Bacterial small subunit ribosomal RNA". The record is from RNAcentral. Lineage: Bacteria; Bacillati; Actinomycetota; Actinomycetes; Micrococcales; Micrococcaceae.
GACGAACGCUGGCGGCGUGCUUAACACAUGCAAGUCGAACGAUGAUGCCCAGCUUGCUGGGCGGAUUAGUGGCGAACGGGUGAGUAAUACGUGAGUAACCUGCCCUUGACUCUGGGAUAAGCCUGGGAAACUGGGUCUAAUACUGGAUACUACCUCUUACCGCAUGGUGGGUGGUGGAAAGGGUUUUACUGGUUUUGGAUGGGCUCACGGCCUAUCAGCUUGUUGGUGGGGUAAUGGCUCACCAAGGCGACGACGGGUAGCCGGCCUGAGAGGGUGACCGGCCACACUGGGACUGAGACACGGCCCAGACUCCUACGGGAGGCAGCAGUGGGGAAUAUUGCACAAUGGGCGGAAGCCUGAUGCAGCGACGCCGCGUGAGGGAUGACGGCCUUCGGGUUGUAAACCUCUUUCAGUAGGGAAGAAGCGAGAGUGACGGUACCUGCAGAAGAAGCGCCGGCUAACUACGUGCCAGCAGCCGCGGUAAUACGUAGGGCGCAAGCGUUGUCCGGAAUUAUUGGGCGUAAAGAGCUCGUAGGCGGUUUGUCGCGUCUGCUGUGAAAGCCCGGGGCUCAACCCCGGGUCUGCAGUGGGUACGGGCAGACUAGAGUGCAGUAGGGGAGACUGGAAUUCCUGGUGUAGCGGUGAAAUGCGCAGAUAUCAGGAGGAACACCGAUGGCGAAGGCAGGUCUCUGGGCUGUUACUGACGCUGAGGAGCGAAAGCAUGGGGAGCGAACAGGAUUAGAUACCCUGGUAGUCCAUGCCGUAAACGUUGGGCACUAGGUGUGGGGGACAUUCCACGUUUUCCGCGCCGUAGCUAACGCAUUAAGUGCCCCGCCUGGGGAGUACGGCCGCAAGGCUAAAACUCAAAGGAAUUGACGGGGGCCCGCACAAGCGGCGGAGCAUGCGGAUUAAUUCGAUGCAACGCGAAGAACCUUACCAAGGCUUGACAUUCACCGGACCGCCCCAGAGAUGGGGUUUCCCUUCGGGGCUGGUGGACAGGUGGUGCAUGGUUGUCGUCAGCUCGUGUCGUGAGAUGUUGGGUUAAGUCCCGCAACGAGCGCAACCCUCGUUCUAUGUUGCCAGCACGUGAUGGUGGGGACUCAUAGGAGACUGCCGGGGUCAACUCGGAGGAAGGUGGGGAUGACGUCAAAUCAUCAUGCCCCUUAUGUCUUGGGCUUCACGCAUGCUACAAUGGCCGGUACAAAGGGUUGCGAUACUGUGAGGUGGAGCUAAUCCCAAAAAGCCGGUCUCAGUUCGGAUUGAGGUCUGCAACUCGACCUCAUGAAGUCGGAGUCGCUAGUAAUCGCAGAUCAGCAACGCUGCGGUGAAUACGUUCCCGGGCCUUGUACACACCGCCCGUCAAGUCACGAAAGUUGGUAACACCCGAAGCCGGUGGCCUAACCCCUUGUGGGAGGGAGCCGUCGAAGGUGGGACUGGCGAUUGGGACUAGUCGCUAGUAAUCGCAGAUCAGCAACGCUGCGGUGAAUACGUUCCCGGGCCUUGUACACACCGCCCGUCAAGUCACGAAAGUUGGUAACACCCGAAGCCGGUGGCCUAACCCCUUGUGGGAGGGAGCCGUCGAAGGUGGGACUGGCGAUUGGGACU